CACAUUAGAGCGGCAGAGUAACACUGAAUGGUGGAGCGGCGCCGCUGCAUGUAGUAACUGCUGCCGUCGACGAGGCCGCCGCCGCCACCCGCCGCCGCAGACCUCCACGUUCGACAAUAGCGCCUUCCUCUACGACGCCAGGGAGGUGUUCCAUGCCAGAAGUCGUGGUCAGCAAGGGGAAAAGGCACAAGAUGGAGUUGAUGCUGUCAUUUUACAGCAAAGGGAGGAGGCACUGUGUGUGAGCUGGGGCAAGGAGGCUGUGCUCUAGUGGCCAUUGAAGAGUAACUUCUGAUGAGUUAUCUGAUCCAGCAAUUAAAGUGUUACUGCAAAGCUUAGUUAAGAGAAGAAGGGGCUGUGGUCUGUAUCUAUGACCAAAACCUCGCUGGGUGGCCACUUCUUGAUCAUGGAAUCUUGCUGCUGAGGGUCCAGCAUGUGGUCACGCUGUGUCUUUAUGAAAACCCGCUUUAUUCGAUUCAAUCUCUCAUCAGCUCCUUCAAAGCUUGCAGUACCAAUAGCACUUGCAGGCCAUGGGCGCAUCAGCAUUGAAGCCAGUAUUGACUCCUGAACAAGAUUUUUUCAUAAAACAUGUGGCUUUGUUGUGAUAGUCGAUCACGCUGGAAUUCUAAUCUCAAGGCGACAGUAGUUGGAGGAUCAUCUGCUCCUGCACCGAAUGUCAACUCGGUCUCAUUCUCAGGCAAACUUGGAUCCUACCUUCUCACCCUCUGGCAAGGCGGAGAUGAGGCGCAGGAGCGGCUUGUCAUACUGCUCGAAUGACCGUACAGUGUUGGGGUCGGUUGGGUCUACGCCGCCUCCGGCAAGGUCUAUGCAGGUCACUUGGUAGCCGGAGCCCUCAAGGAGCCACCGGAGCUUGAACCAGCACCACCCUCCAUGCCCUUCCCCAUGAACAAGCACCAAAUGCUCCCCUGCCAUGCCCG
Long non-coding RNA from Triticum aestivum (bread wheat), 935 nucleotides. RefSeq lists it as uncharacterized. The transcript has 5 exons. NCBI's taxonomy places the organism in Eukaryota, Viridiplantae, Streptophyta, Magnoliopsida, Poales, Poaceae. The record is from RefSeq and is a predicted model, not a curated record.